Molecule: ribosomal RNA, 243 nt
Filed under: uncultured bacterium
Lineage: Bacteria
Description: partial 16S ribosomal RNA
Rfam family: Bacterial small subunit ribosomal RNA
Source: RNAcentral
UACGGAGGGUGCGAGCGUUGUCCGGAAUCACUGGGCGUAAAGGGCGCGUAGGCGGCGCGGGGAGUCAACGGUGAAAGCUCGGCGCUCAACGCCGAGUCGGCCGUCGAUACUCCCGUGCUUGAGCACUGUAGAGGCAGGUGGAAUUCCGGGUGUAGCGGUGGAAUGCGUAGAGAUCCGGAAGAACACCGGUGGCGAAGGCGGCCUGCUGGGCAGUAGCUGACGCUGAGGCGCGACAGCGUGGGG